Molecule: ribosomal RNA, 1209 nt
Filed under: metagenome
Description: bacterial LSU rRNA
Rfam family: Bacterial large subunit ribosomal RNA
Source: RNAcentral
UUGUUAAGGAACUCGGCAAAAUGACCCCGUAACUUAGGGAGAAGGGGUGCCUGUCUAUGACAGGCCGCAGAGAAUAGGCCCAAGCGACUGUUUACCAAAAACACAGGUUUCUGCUAAGUCGCAAGACGAUGUAUAGGAGCUGACGCCUGCCCGGUGCUGGAAGGUUAAGGGGAUCUGUUAGAGCAAUCGAAGCAGUGAACUUAAGCCCCAGUAAACGGCGGCCGUAACAAUAACGGUCCUAAGGUAGCGAAAUUCCUUGUCGGGUAAGUUCCGACCCGCACGAAAGGCGUAACGAUUUGGGCACUGUCUCAACAAUAGACUCGGUGAAAUUGUAAUCCCGGUGAAGAUGCCGGGUACCUGCGACAGGACGGAAAGACCCCAUGGAGCUUUACUGUGGCUUGACGUUGGGUCUUGGUACUACAUGUACAGGAUAGGUGGGAGACUAUGAAGCAUGGACGCCAGUCUGUGUGGAGUCAUCCUUGGGAUACCACCCUUGUAGUACUGGGAUCCUAACCAUAGGCCUUGAAUCAGGUCUUGGAACACCGUCAGGUGGGCAGUUUGACUGGGGCGGUCGCCUCCUAAAAAGUAACGGAGGCGCUCAAAGGUUUCCUCAGCACGGUCGGAAAUCGUGCGAAGAGUGUAAAGGUAAAAGGAAGCUUGAUUGCAAGACAUACAGGUCGAGCAAGGACGAAAGUCGGACUUAGUGAUCCGGUGGUACCGCAUGGAAGGGCCAUCGCUCAACGGAUAAAAGCUACCCUGGGGAUAACAGGCUUAUCUCCCCCAAGAGUCCACAUCGACGGGGAGGUUUGGCACCUCGAUGUCGGCUCAUCACAUCCUGGGGCUGUAGUAGGUCCCAAGGGUUGGGCUGUUCGCCCAUUAAAGUGGUACGCGAGCUGGGUUCAGAACGUCGUGAGACAGUUCGGUCCCUAUCCGUCGCAGGCGUAGGAAAUUUGAGAAGACCUGUCCUUAGUACGAGAGGACCGGGAUGGACGUACCUCUGGUGUACCAGUUGUUCUGCCAAGGGCAUGGCUGGGUAGCUAUGUACGGAAUGGAUAAGCGCUGAAAGCAUCUAAGCGCGAAGCCAACUUCAAGAUAAGAUUUCCCACCGUAAGGGUAAGACCCCAGGAAGACUACCUGGUUGAUAGGUCGAAGGUGUAAGUGCAGUAAUGUAUUUAGCUUAUCGAUACUAAUAGGUCGAGGACUUGACGA